GGUUUUGCGCUGGCUCCAGAUUGAACGCUGGCGGGAUGCUUUACAUGCAAGUCGAACGGCAGCACGGACUUCAGUCUGGUGGCGAGAGCGAACAGGUGAAUAAUGCCAUCCCGGAACAUUGCUAAAGUAGCGGGGAGUAACUACGCGAAAGCGUAGCUAAUACCGCAUACGCCCUUCGGGGAAAGCGGGGACCUUCGGGCCUCGCACUAUUAGAGCGGCCGAUAUCGGAUUGGCUAGUUGGUGGGGGUAACGGCUCACCAAGGCGACGAUCCGUAGCUGGUUUGAGAGGACGACCAGCCACACUGGGACUGAGACACGGCCCAGACUCCUACGGGAGGCAGCAGUGGGGAAUUUUGGACAAUGGGGGAAACCCUGAUCCAGCCAUCCCGCGUGUGCGAUGAAGGCCUUCGGGUUGUAAAGCCUUUUGGCAGAAAGAAACGGCACGGGAUAAUACCCCGUGCAACUGACAGUACCUGCGAAUAAGCACCGGCUAACUACGUGCCAGCAGCCGCGGUAAUACGUAGGGUACGAAGCGUUAAUCAGAUUACUGGGCGUAAAAGCGUGCGCAGGCGGUUCCGGAAAGAAAGAUGUGAAAUCCCAGAGCUUAACUUUGGAACUGCAUUUUUAACUACCGAGCUAGAGUGUGUCAGAGGGAGGUGGAAUUCCGCGUGUAGCAGUGAAAUGCGUAGAUAUGCGGAGGAACACCGAUGGCGAGGCAGCCUCCUGGGAUAACACUGACGCUCAUGCACGAAAGCGUGGGGAGCAAACAGGAUUAGAUACCUAGUAGUCCACGCCCUAAACGAUGUCAACUAGCUGUUGGGGCCUUCCGGGCCUUGGUAGCGCAGCUAACGCGUGAAGUUGACCGCCUGGGGAAAUACGGUCACCGAAUUAAAACUCAAAGGAAUUGACGGGGACCCGCACAAGCGGUGGAUGAUGUGGAUUAAUUCGAUGCAACGCGAAAAACCUUACCUACCCUUGACAUGUCUGGAAUCCCGAAGGGUUGGGAACUCGCAAAGAGAACCGGAACACAGGUGCUGCAUGGCUGUCGUCGGCUCGUGCCGUGAGAUGUUGGGUUAAGUCCCACCAACGAGCGCAAUACUUGUCGUGGAUUGCUACGAAAGGGCACUCUAAUGAGACUGCCGGUGACAAACCGGAGGAAGGUGGGGAUGACGUCAAGUCCUCAUGGCCCUUAUGGGUAGGGCUUCACACGUCAUACAAUGGUCGGGACAGAGGGUCGCCAACCCGCGAGGGGGAGCCAAUCCCGAAACCCGAUCGUAGUCCGGAUCGCAGUCUGCAACUCGACUGCGUGAAGUCGGAAUCGCUAGUAAUCGCGGAUCAGCAUGUCGCGGAGAGUGGGCCACGUUCCCGGGUCUUGUACACACCGCCCGUCACACCAUGGGAGUGGGUUUUACCAGAAGUAGUUAGCCUAACCGUAAGGAGGGCGAUUACCACGGUAGGAUUCAUGACUGGGGUGAAGUCGUAACAAGGUAACU
This 1493-nucleotide ribosomal RNA is filed under the name uncultured Bordetella sp. Its description in RNAcentral is "partial 16S-23S ribosomal RNA intergenic spacer". It matches the Rfam family "Bacterial small subunit ribosomal RNA". The record is from RNAcentral. Lineage: Bacteria; Pseudomonadati; Pseudomonadota; Betaproteobacteria; Burkholderiales; Alcaligenaceae.